GACGAACGCUGGCGGCGUGCUUAACACAUGCAAGUCGAGCGGUAAGGCCCUUUCGGGGGUACACGAGCGGCGAACGGGUGAGUAACACGUGGGUGACCUGCCCUCAGCUCUGGGAUAAGCCUGGGAAACCGGGUCUAAUACCGGAUAUGACUCCAUGACGCAUGUUGUGGGGUGGAAAGCCUUGUGCGGCUGAGGAUGGGCCCGCGGCCUAUCAGCUUGUUGGUGGGGUGANGGCCUACCAAGGCGACGACGGGUAGCCGGCCUGAGAGGGCGACCGGCCACACUGGGACUGAGACACGGCCCAGACUCCUACGGGAGGCAGCAGUGGGGAAUCUUGCGCAAUGGGCGAAAGCCUGACGCAGCGACGCCGCGUGAGGGAUGACGGCCUGGUCGUAACAAC
Molecule: ribosomal RNA, 400 nt
Filed under: uncultured bacterium
Lineage: Bacteria
Description: bacterial SSU rRNA
Rfam family: Bacterial small subunit ribosomal RNA
Source: RNAcentral